UUGUCUCAAAGAUUAAGCCAUGCAUGUCUCAGUACAAGCCGAAUUAAGGUGAAACCGCGAAAGGCUCAUUAAAUCAGUUAUGGUUCCUUAGAUCGUACCCACAUUUACUUGGAUAACUGUGGUAAUUCUAGAGCUAAUACAUGCAAACAGAGCUCCAACCGGAAACGGAAGGAGCGCUUUUAUUAGAUCAAAACCAAUCGGUGGCGGUUUCUCCGUCAUCGUACAACUUGGUGACUCUGAAUAACUUUAAGCUGAUCGCACGGUCUCGCACCGGCGACGCAUCUUUCAAAUGUCUGCCUUAUCAACUGUCGAUGGUAGGUUCUGCGCCUACCAUGGUUGUAACGGGUAACGGGGAAUCAGGGUUCGAUUCCGGAGAGGGAGCCUGAGAAACGGCUACCACAUCCAAGGAAGGCAGCAGGCGCGCAAAUUACCCACUCCCGGCACGGGGAGGUAGUGACGAAAAAUAACUAUACGGGACUCAUCCGAGGCCCCGUAAUCGGAAUGAGUACACUCUAAACCCUUUAACGAGGAUCAAUUGGAGGGCAAGUCUGGUGCCAGCAGCCGCGGUAAUUCCAGCUCCAAUAGCGUAUAUUAAAGUUGUUGCGGUUAAAAAGCUCGUAGUCGAAUCUGUGUCCCGCGCCGCCGGUUCAUCGUUCGCGGUGUUAACUGGCGUGCCGCGGGACGUCCUGCCGGUGGGCUUAGCUCGAGAGGGCGGCCCAACUCAAUCCCGCCGCGGUGCUCUUCAUUGAGUGUCGAGGUGGGCCGGCACGUUUACUUUGAACAAAUUAGAGUGCUUAAAGCAGGCUAAAACUUCGCCUGAAUACUGUGUGCAUGGAAUAAUGGAAUAGGACCUCGGUUCUAUUUUGUUGGUUUUCGGAACCCCGAGGUAAUGAUUAAUAGGAACGGAUGGGGGCAUUCGUAUUGCGACGUUAGAGGUGAAAUUCUUGGAUCGUCGCAAGACGGACAGAAGCGAAAGCAUUUGCCAAAAACGCUUUCAUUGAUCAAGAACGAAAGUUAGAGGUUCGAAGGCGAUCAGAUACCGCCCUAGUUCUAACCAUAAACGAUGCCAGCUAGCGAUCCGCCGACGUUCUUUCGAUGACUCGGCGGGCAGCUUCCGGGAAACCAAAGCUUUUGGGUUCCGGGGGAAGUAUGGUUGCAAAGCUGAAACUUAAAGGAAUUGACGGAAGGGCACCACCAGGAGUGGAGCCUGCGGCUUAAUU
This 1220-nucleotide ribosomal RNA is filed under the name Uloma punctata. RNAcentral's name for it is "SSU rRNA". It matches the Rfam family "Eukaryotic small subunit ribosomal RNA", at positions 32 to 1195 of the family's 1831-position model. The record is from RNAcentral. Lineage: Eukaryota; Metazoa; Arthropoda; Insecta; Coleoptera; Tenebrionidae.